GUCCAGCUGAUGAGUCCCAAAUAGGAUGAAGCAUGAGUCCUGGAU
Molecule: non-coding RNA, 45 nt
Filed under: Schistosoma margrebowiei
Lineage: Eukaryota; Metazoa; Platyhelminthes; Trematoda; Strigeidida; Schistosomatidae
Source: RNAcentral